RNAcentral lists this ribosomal RNA (478 nucleotides) under uncultured bacterium. Its description in RNAcentral is "partial 16S ribosomal RNA". It matches the Rfam family "Bacterial small subunit ribosomal RNA", at positions 28 to 523 of the family's 1533-position model. The record is from RNAcentral.
GACGAACGCUGGCGACGUGCUUAACACAUGCAAGUCGAACGGUAAGGCCCUUUGGGGUACACGAGUGGCGAACGGGUGAGUAACACGUGGGUGAUCUGCCCUGCACUUCGGGAUAAGCCUGGGAAACUGGGUCUAAUACCGGAUAGGACCACUGCCUGCAUGGGUGGUGGUGGAAAGCUUUUGCGGUGUGGGAUGGGCCCGCGGCCUAUCAGCUUGUUGGUGGGGUGAUGGCCUACCAAGGCGACGACGGGUAGCCGGCCUGAGAGGGUGACCGGCCACACUGGGACUGAGAUACGGCCCAGACUCCUACGGGAGGCAGCAGUGGGGAAUAUUGCACAAUGGGCGCAAGCCUGAUGCAGCGACGCCGCGUGAGGGAUGACGGCCUCCGGGUUGUAAACCUCUUUCAGCACCGACGAAGCGCAAGUGACGGUAGGUGCAGAAGAAGGACCGGCCAACUACGUGCCAGCCGCCGCCGUAA